This 74-nucleotide transfer RNA is filed under the name Trueperella pyogenes. RNAcentral's name for it is "tRNA-Gly(gcc)". It matches the Rfam family "tRNA". From Rfam's summary of the family: Transfer RNA (tRNA) molecules are approximately 80 nucleotides in length. Lineage: Bacteria; Bacillati; Actinomycetota; Actinomycetes; Actinomycetales; Actinomycetaceae. RNAcentral also lists the same sequence under 2 other names. The record is from RNAcentral.
GCGGAUGUAGCUCAGCUGGUAGAGCACCACCUUGCCAAGGUGGGGGUCGCGGGUUCGAAUCCCGUCAUCCGCUC